GAUGAACGCUGGCGGCGUGCCUAAUACAUGCAAGUCGAGCGAACAGACGAGGAGCUUGCUCCUCUGACGUUAGCGGCGGACGGGUGAGUAACACGUGGAUAACCUACCUAUAAGACUGGGAUAACUUCGGGAAACCGGAGCUAAUACCGGAUAAUAUAUUGAACCGCAUGGUUCAAUAGUGAAAGACGGGUUUGCUGGCACUUAUAGAUGGAUCCGCGCCGCAUUAGCUAGUUGGUAAGGUAACGGCUUACCAAGGCAACGAUGCGUAGCCGACCUGAGAGGAUGAUCGGCCACACUGGAACUGAGACACGGUCCAGACUCCUACGGGAGGCAGCAGUAGGGAAUCUUCCGCAAUGGGCGAAAGCCUGACGGAGCAACGCCGCGUGAGUGAUGAAGGUCUUCGGAUCGUAAAACUCUGUUAUUAGGGAAGAACAAAUGUGUAAGUAACUAUGCACGUCUUGACGGUACCUAAUCAGAAAGCCACGGCUAACUACGUG
This 497-nucleotide ribosomal RNA is filed under the name uncultured bacterium. Its description in RNAcentral is "partial 16S ribosomal RNA". It matches the Rfam family "Bacterial small subunit ribosomal RNA", at positions 28 to 507 of the family's 1533-position model. The record is from RNAcentral.